RNAcentral lists this ribosomal RNA (433 nucleotides) under uncultured bacterium. RNAcentral's name for it is "partial 16S ribosomal RNA". It matches the Rfam family "Bacterial small subunit ribosomal RNA", at positions 29 to 507 of the family's 1533-position model. The record is from RNAcentral.
AACGAACGCUGGCGGCAUGCCUAACACAUGCAAGUCGAACGAGACCUUCGGGUCUAGUGGCGCACGGGUGCGUAACGCGUGGGAACCUGCCCUUAGGUUCGGAAUAACUCCCCGAAAGGGGUGCUAAUACCGGAUAAUGUCUUCGGACCAAAGAUUUAUCGCCUUUGGAUGGGCCCGCGUUGGAUUAGCUAGUUGGUAGGGUAAAAGCCUACCAAGGCGACGAUCCAUAGCUGGUCUGAGAGGAUGAUAAGCCACACUGGGACUGAGACACGGCCCAGACUCCUACGGGAGGCAGCAGUGGGGAAUAUUGGACAAUGGGCGAAAGCCUGAUCAAGCAAUGCCGCGUGAGUGAUGAAGGCCUUAGGGUUGUAAAGCUCUUUUACCCGGGAUGAUAAUGACAGUACCGGGAGAAUAAGCACCGGCUAACUCCGUG